CCUGAUCCAGCCAUGCCGCGUGUGUGAAGAAGGCCUUAUGGUUGUAAAGCACUUUAAGCGAGGAGGAGGCUACUUUAGUUAAUACCUAGAGAUAGUGGACGUUACUCGCAGAAUAAGCACCGGCUAACUCUGUGCCAGCAGCCGCGGUAAUACAGAGGGUGCGAGCGUUAAUCGGAUUUACUGGGCGUAAAGCGUGCGUAGGCGGCUUAUUAAGUCGGAUGUGAAAUCCCCGAGCUUAACUUGGGAAUUGCAUUCGAUACUGGUGAGCUAGAGUAUGGGAGAGGAUGGUAGAAUUCCAGGUGUAGCGGUGAAAUGCGUAGAGAUCUGGAGGAAUACCGAUGGCGAAGGCAGCCAUCUGGCCUAAUACUGACGCUGAGGUACGAAAGCAUGGGGAGCAAACAGGAUUAGAUACCCUGGUAGUCCAUGCCGUAAACGAUGUCUACUAGCCGUUGGGGCCUUUGAGGCUUUAGUGGCGCAGCUAACGCGAUAAGUAGACCGCCUGGGGAGUACGGUCGCAAGACUAAAACUCAAAUGAAUUGACGGGGGCCCGCACAAGCGGUGGAGCAUGUGGUUUAAUUCGAUGCAACGCGAAGAACCUUACCUGGCCUUGACAUACUAGAAACUUUCCAGAGAUGGAUUGGUGCCUUCGGGAAUCUAGAUACAGGUGCUGCAUGGCUGUCGUCAGCUCGUGUCGUGAGAUGUUGGGUUAAGUCCCGCAACGAGCGCAACCCUUUUCCUUACUUGCCAGCAUUUCGGAUGGGAACUUUA
This 768-nucleotide ribosomal RNA is filed under the name Acinetobacter baumannii 18689. RNAcentral's name for it is "bacterial SSU rRNA". It matches the Rfam family "Bacterial small subunit ribosomal RNA", at positions 382 to 1142 of the family's 1533-position model. The record is from RNAcentral. Lineage: Bacteria; Pseudomonadati; Pseudomonadota; Gammaproteobacteria; Moraxellales; Moraxellaceae.